GUAAGGAAUAUUGGUCAAUGGAGGCAACUCUGAACCAGCCAUGCCGCGUGCAGGAAGACGGCCCUCUGGGUUGUAAACUGCUUUUAUCUAGGAAUAAACCUACUUACGUGUAAGUAGCUGAAUGUACUAGAAGAAUAAGGAUCGGCUAACUCCGUGCCAGCAGCCGCGGUAAUACGGAGGAUCCAAGCGUUAUCCGGAUUUAUUGGGUUUAAAGGGUGCGUAGGCGGCCUAUUAAGUCAGGGGUGAAAGACGGUAGCUCAACUAUCGCAGUGCCCUUGAUACUGAUGGGCUUGAAUGAACUAGAGGUAGGCGGAAUGUGACAAGUAGCGGUGAAAUGUUUAGAUAUGUCACAGAACACCGAUUGCGAAGGCAGCUUACUAUGGUUUUAUUGACGCUGAGGCACGAAAGCGUGGGGAUCAAACAGGAUUAGAUACCCGAGUAGUCC
This 445-nucleotide ribosomal RNA is filed under the name uncultured bacterium. RNAcentral's name for it is "partial 16S ribosomal RNA". It matches the Rfam family "Bacterial small subunit ribosomal RNA", at positions 354 to 796 of the family's 1533-position model. The record is from RNAcentral.